Molecule: ribosomal RNA, 514 nt
Filed under: uncultured Diversispora
Lineage: Eukaryota; Fungi; Glomeromycota; Glomeromycetes; Diversisporales; Diversisporaceae
Description: SSU rRNA
Rfam family: Eukaryotic small subunit ribosomal RNA
Source: RNAcentral
AGCAGCCGCGGUAAUUCCAGCUCCAAUAGCGUAUAUUAAAGUUGUUGCAGUUAAAAAGCUCGUAGUUGAACUUCGGGGUUUACCCAUUGGUCAGGCUUAAUUGUCUGUACUGGUGAGAUAAAUCUCUACCUUCUGAGGAACUUUCAUGUCAUUAAUUUGGUGUGAUUGGAAAUCAGGACUGUUACUUUGAAAAAUUAGAGCGUUUAAAGCAGGCUAACGUCUGAAUACAUUAGCAUGGAAUAAUGAAAUAGGACGGACUGAUUCUAUUUCGUUGGUUUCUAGGAUCACCGUAAUGAUUAAUAGGGAUAGUUGGGGGCAUUAGUAUUCAAUUGUCAGAGGUGAAAUUCUUGGAUUUAUUGAAGACUAACUACUGCGAAAGCAUUUGCCAAGGAUGUUUUCAUUAAUCAAGAACGAAAGUUAGGGGAUCGAAGACGAUCAGAUACCGUCGUAGUCUUAACCAUAAACUAUGCCGACUAGGGAUCGGACGAAGUUAAUUUUAUAAUGACGCGUUCGG